CAAAUCUUGCAGAAAGCUAUUCAGGAACACGGGCGAGGCCAGGUAAUGGACUCCCUGGCAGAAAUUCAGGAACGUCAUGGGGCCGUUAGAGACUAUGUUCGACAUUGUUGUUUUAAUUACUGUUUGAUGCUUUACAUUGUUGUUCUUUGAAUGUAAAGGUACUAAUUUAGCAAGAUGUACACAUUUUCCAGGUGAAAUCAGGAACUAUGUUCGACAACGUCUUGGUCUGCGAUGAUCCUGAUUAUGCAAAGAAGCUCACAGAGGAAACAUGGGGAAAACAAAAGGAGGGCGAGAAGGCAGCCUUUGAUGAGGAAUUAGAACUGUGCUUGGGUCGCGAAGUGUGUAGGUAUUGAGCCUGGCACGAUUGCCAUAGAGUUGGAGGGCAUUGAUGGAAGAUAAAGAGGGAUGAUACAACAUUUGAGAAGCAAAGUGCUCCUUUUGCUUUGGCGAUUUCAGACUUUGUACUGAUAAACAUGUUGAGCAGUUAAGAAAGAGGUUUAUCCAUUCUAUUGCUCCAGGAGAGGAGGGCUUGCCGGUGAUAGACGCUGUGUAGUCCCUGCUUCAGGAUUUAGUUUUAGUGCACAGCAGAUAUGUUAAAGUUAUC
Long non-coding RNA from Papaver somniferum (opium poppy), 604 nucleotides. RefSeq lists it as uncharacterized. The record is from RefSeq and is a predicted model, not a curated record. Lineage: Eukaryota; Viridiplantae; Streptophyta; Magnoliopsida; Ranunculales; Papaveraceae. The transcript is spliced from 5 exons.